AGCUCUGCGCAGUGACGAUAUCGUACCCAAUGAGGAACAUCCGAGGUGGGAUUAUUGCUAAUUGAAGAAGUAAAAUUGAUUCCUAAUCCAACGGUAGUCCAACGUCUACCUUGCGGUUAUAUCAUAGAUAUUACCUAUCCAUAGU
Molecule: small nuclear RNA, 145 nt
Organism: Toxorhynchites rutilus septentrionalis
Lineage: Eukaryota; Metazoa; Arthropoda; Insecta; Diptera; Culicidae
Product: U4 spliceosomal RNA
Exons: 1
Source: RefSeq, a predicted model, not a curated record